GAUGAACGCUGGCGGCGUGCUUAACACAUGCAAGUCGAACGGUGAAGGCGGAGCUUGCUCUGCUGGAUCAGUGGCGAACGGGUGAGUAACACGUGAGCAAUCUGCCCCUGACUCUGGGAUAAGCGCUGGAAACGGCGUCUAAUACUGGAUACGAGCUGCGAAGGCAUCUUCAGCAGCUGGAAAGAAUUUCGGUCAGGGAUGAGCUCGCGGCCUAUCAGCUUGUUGGUGAGGUAAUGGCUCACCAAGGCGUCGACGGGUAGCCGGCCUGAGAGGGUGACCGGCCACACUGGGACUGAGACACGGCCCAGACUCCUACGGGAGGCAGCAGUGGGGAAUAUUGCACGAUGGGCGAAAGCCUGAUGCAGCAACGCCGCGUGAGGGACGACGGCCUUCGGGUUGUAAACCUCUUUUAGCAGGGAAGAAGCGAAAGUGACGGUACCUGCAGAAAAAGCGCCGGCUAACUACGUG
RNAcentral lists this ribosomal RNA (468 nucleotides) under uncultured bacterium. RNAcentral describes it as "partial 16S ribosomal RNA". It matches the Rfam family "Bacterial small subunit ribosomal RNA", at positions 28 to 507 of the family's 1533-position model. The record is from RNAcentral.